UGCAAGUAUCAGCAUACCCGUGAGAACGCCCUUUUAACCUUUAUAGGACAAGGAGCCGGUAUCAGGCACAGACAACUAGCCCAUGACACCUAGCUUUGCCACACCCUCAAGGGUACUCAGCAGUGAUUAACAUUGUUUAUAAGCGCCAGCUUGAAUCAGUUACAGAGUAAAGAGCCGGCCAAUACGGUGCCAGCCGCCGCGGCUACACCGCUAGGCUCAAGUUGAUAUUAUCCGGCGUUAAGCGUGUUUUAAGUGCCUAAAAGAUUAGAAUUAAACUUAAACCAAGCCGUGACACGCUUGUUCCUAAGAAAAACAAAAACGAAAGUUAUUCUAACCCAACCACUUGAACCCACGACAGCUAGGGCACAAACUGGGAUUAGGUACCCCACUAUGCCUAGCCGUAAAACAUACACUUACACCUUUAAUCGCCAGGGAAUUACGAGCCCAAGCUUAAAACCCAAAGGACUUGACGGUGUCCCACCCACCUAGAGGAGCCUGU
RNAcentral lists this ribosomal RNA (499 nucleotides) under Vietnamophryne occidentalis. RNAcentral's name for it is "partial 12S ribosomal RNA". It matches the Rfam family "Bacterial small subunit ribosomal RNA", at positions 87 to 942 of the family's 1533-position model. The record is from RNAcentral. Lineage: Eukaryota; Metazoa; Chordata; Amphibia; Anura; Microhylidae.